GGAUUAGAAACCCGGGUAGUCCACGCCGUAAACGAUGGAUACUAGCUGUCCGGCCCCUUGUGGUCUGGGCGGCCAAGCGAAAGUGAUAAGUAUCCCACCUGGGGAGUACGUCCGCAAGGAUGAAACUCAAAGGAAUUGACGGGGGCCCGCACAAGCGGUGGAGCAUGUGGUUUAAUUCGAUGAUACGCGAGGAACCUUACCAGGGCUUGAACGCGGCCCGACGGGCCCGGAAACGGGCCUUCCCUCGGGCGGGCCGCGAGGUGCUGCAUGGUUGUCGUCAGCUCGUGCCGUGAGGUGUCAGGUUAAGUCCUAUAACGAGCGCAACCCCUGUUGCCAGUUGCCAGCAUGUAACGAUGGGGACUCUGGCAAGACUGCCGGUGCAAACCGCGAGGAA
RNAcentral lists this ribosomal RNA (394 nucleotides) under uncultured bacterium. RNAcentral describes it as "bacterial SSU rRNA". It matches the Rfam family "Bacterial small subunit ribosomal RNA", at positions 775 to 1171 of the family's 1533-position model. The record is from RNAcentral.